Molecule: transfer RNA, 73 nt
Filed under: Candidatus Omnitrophica bacterium ADurb.Bin205
Lineage: Bacteria; Pseudomonadati; Candidatus Omnitrophota
Description: tRNA-Arg
Rfam family: tRNA
About the family: Transfer RNA (tRNA) molecules are approximately 80 nucleotides in length. Their secondary structure includes four short double-helical elements and three loops (D, anti-codon, and T loops).
Source: RNAcentral
GCGCCUGUGGCCCAAAGGAUAGGGCGCUAGCCUCCGGAGCUAGAUGUGCAGGUUCGAUUCCCGCCAGGCGCAC